RNAcentral lists this unclassified non-coding RNA (179 nucleotides) under uncultured fungus. RNAcentral describes it as "sequence contains ITS1, 5.8S rRNA gene". The record is from RNAcentral. Lineage: Eukaryota; Fungi. RNAcentral also lists the same sequence under 1 other name.
CCGAGUGCGGGCUUCUCGCCCAACCUCCCACCCGUGUUGACCUGUGACCGUGUUGCUUCGGCGGGCCUAUCGAGGCCCGUCCCUGAUCGCCGGGGGACCCUGUAUCCCCGGGCGUGUGCCCGCCGAAGAACCCCUGAACCCUGCAUGAAUUGGGCGUCUGAGUAAAGAUUGAAUCGUUA